Pan troglodytes (chimpanzee) is the source of this 84-nucleotide microRNA precursor. It matches the Rfam family "mir-548 microRNA precursor family". The record is from Rfam. NCBI's taxonomy places the organism in Eukaryota, Metazoa, Chordata, Mammalia, Primates, Hominidae.
UAUUGGGUUGGUGCAAAAGGAAUUGUGGUUUUUGCCAUUGAAAAUAAUGGCAAAAACCGCAAUUCCUUUUGCACCAACCUAAUA